CACUGGAUGGAGGCCCGAACCCACGCACGUUGAAAAGUGCGGGGAUGAGGUGUGGGUAGCGGAGAAAUUCCAAUCGAACUUGGAGAUAGCUGGUUCUCUCCGAAAUAGCUUUAGGGCUAGCCUCAAGAUUUAGAGUAUUGGAGGUAGAGCACUGUUUGGACUAGGGGCCCCCAUCGGGUUACCGAAUUCAGACAAACUCCGAAUGCCAAAUACUUAUUCUUGGGAGUCAGACUACGAGUGAUAAGAUCCGUGGUCAAGAGGGAAACAGCCCAGACCACCAGCUAAGGUCCCAAAGUAUACGUUAAGUGGAAAAGGAUGUGGAGU
RNAcentral lists this ribosomal RNA (324 nucleotides) under Niallia circulans. RNAcentral's name for it is "bacterial LSU rRNA". It matches the Rfam family "Bacterial large subunit ribosomal RNA", at positions 760 to 1081 of the family's 2925-position model. The record is from RNAcentral. Lineage: Bacteria; Bacillati; Bacillota; Bacilli; Caryophanales; Bacillaceae.